This 693-nucleotide ribosomal RNA is filed under the name uncultured bacterium. RNAcentral's name for it is "bacterial SSU rRNA". It matches the Rfam family "Bacterial small subunit ribosomal RNA", at positions 32 to 715 of the family's 1533-position model. The record is from RNAcentral.
AACGCUAGCUACAGGCUUAACACAUGCAAGUCGAGGGGCAGCAUGAACUUAGCUUGCUAAGUUUGAUGGCGACCGGCGCACGGGUGAGUAACACGUAUCCAACCUGCCGAUGACUCGGGGAUAGCCUUUCGAAAGAAAGAUUAAUACCCGAUGGCAUAGUUCUUCCGCAUGGUGGAACUAUUAAAGAAUUUCGGUCAUCGAUGGGGAUGCGUUCCAUUAGGUUGUUGGCGGGGUAACGGCCCACCAAGCCUUCGAUGGAUAGGGGUUCUGAGAGGAAGGUCCCCCACAUUGGAACUGAGACACGGUCCAAACUCCUACGGGAGGCAGCAGUGAGGAAUAUUGGUCAAUGGACGAGAGUCUGAACCAGCCAAGUAGCGUGAAGGAUGACUGCCCUAUGGGUUGUAAACUUCUUUUAUACGGGAAUAAAGUGAGGCACGCGUGCCUUUUUGUAUGUACCGUAUGAAUAAGGAUCGGCUAACUCCGUGCCAGCAGCCGCGGUAAUACGGAGGAUCCGAGCGUUAUCCGGAUUUAUUGGGUUUAAAGGGAGCGUAGGCGGACGCUUAAGUCAGUUGUGAAAGUUUGCGGCUCAACCGUAAAAUUGCAGUUGAUACUGGGUGUCUUGAGUACAGUAGAGGCAGGCGGAAUUCGUGGUGUAGCGGUGAAAUGCUUAGAUAUCACGAAGAACUCCGAUUG